This is a long non-coding RNA of Pipistrellus kuhlii (Kuhl's pipistrelle), 279 nucleotides long. RefSeq lists it as uncharacterized. Lineage: Eukaryota; Metazoa; Chordata; Mammalia; Chiroptera; Vespertilionidae. The record is from RefSeq and is a predicted model, not a curated record. The transcript has 3 exons.
AAGAUUAUGGAAAAAAUUUUCCCUCGAUUCGGACUGCCCAAGGUAAUCGGGUCUGAUAACGGACCGGCUUUUGUUGCCCAGGUAAGUCAGGGAUUGGCCAGGAUACUGGGGAUUAAUUGGAAAUUACAUUGUGCCUACCAUCCCCAAAGUUCAGGACAGGUAGAAAGAAUGAAUAGAACCCUAAAAGAGACCAUGACUAAAUUAUCCAUAGAGACUGGCUUAACAGACUGGACAGUCCUCCUCCCCUAUGCCCUUUUUAGAGUAAGGAAUACUCCGAAU